GUGGGGGAUAUUGCACAAUGGGGGAAACCCUGAUGCAGCGACGCCGCGUGAGUGAUGAAGUAUUUCGGUAUGUAAAACUCUAUCAGCAGGGAAGAAAAUGACGGUACCUGACUAAGAAGCUCCGGCUAAAUACGUGCCAGCAGCCGCGGUAAUACGUAUGGAGCAAGCGUUAUCCGGAUUUACUGGGUGUAAAGGGAGCGUAGACGGUGAGGCAAGUCUGAUGUGAAAGGUGUGGGCUCAACCCGCAAACUGCAUUGGAAACUGUCCCGCUUGAGUGUCGGAGAGGUAAGUGGAAUUCCUAGUGUAGCGGUGAAAUGCGUAGAUAUUAGGAGGAACACCAGCGGCGAAGGCGGCUUACUGGACGAUAACUGACGUUGAGGCUCGAAAGCGUGGGGAGCAAACAGG
This 405-nucleotide ribosomal RNA is filed under the name uncultured rumen bacterium. RNAcentral's name for it is "bacterial SSU rRNA". It matches the Rfam family "Bacterial small subunit ribosomal RNA", at positions 354 to 776 of the family's 1533-position model. The record is from RNAcentral.